RNAcentral lists this ribosomal RNA (562 nucleotides) under uncultured bacterium. Its description in RNAcentral is "bacterial SSU rRNA". It matches the Rfam family "Bacterial small subunit ribosomal RNA", at positions 337 to 917 of the family's 1533-position model. The record is from RNAcentral.
UCCUACGGGAGGCAGCAGUGGGGAAUAUUGCACAAUGGGCGAAAGCCUGAUGCAGCAACGCCGCGUGAGCGAAGAAGGCCCUCGGGUCGUAAAGCUCUGUCCUAAGGGAAGAAAAAUGACGGUACCUUAGGAGGAAGCCCCGGCUAACUACGUGCCAGCAGCCGCGGUAAUACGUAGGGGGCGAGCGUUAUCCGGAAUCACUGGGCGUAAAGGGUGCGUAGGCGGCCAAAUAAGCCAGGGGUGAAAGGCUGCGGCUCAACCGCAGUAAGCCUUUGGAACUGUAUGGCUUGAGUGCAGGAGAGGAGAGUGGAAUUCCUAGUGUAGCGGUGAAAUGCGUAGAUAUUAGGAGGAACACCAGUGGCGAAGGCGACUCUCUGGACUGCAACUGACGCUGAGGCACGAAAGCGUGGGGAGCGAACAGGAUUAGAUACCCUGGUAGUCCACGCCGUAAACGAUGAGUGCUAGGUGUCGGGGGUUCACACCCUCGGUGCCGGAGUUAACGCAUUAAGCACUCCGCCUGGGGAGUACGGUCGCAAGACUGAAACUCAAAGGAAUUGACGGA